This 420-nucleotide ribosomal RNA is filed under the name uncultured bacterium. RNAcentral's name for it is "bacterial SSU rRNA". It matches the Rfam family "Bacterial small subunit ribosomal RNA", at positions 356 to 773 of the family's 1533-position model. The record is from RNAcentral.
AAGGAAUAUUGGGCAAUGGCCGAGAGGCUGACCCAGCCAUGCCGCGUGCAGGAAGACGGCCUUAUGGGUUGUAAACUGCUUUUCUGUCAGAAUAAUAGCACUUACGAGUAGGUGUAUGCAAGUAUGAUAGGAAUAAGCAUCGGCUAACUCCGUGCCAGCAGCCGCGGUAAUACGGAGGAUGCGAGCGUUAUCCGGAUUUAUUGGGUUUAAAGGGUGCGUAGGCUGGUAUUUAAGUCAGUGGUGAAAAAUCCGGGCUCAACCUGGGUACUGCCAUUGAUACUGGAUACCUGGAGUGUAGACGAAGUGGGCGGAAUGUGGGGUGUAGCGGUGAAAUGCAUAGAUAUUCCACAGAACACCGAUAGCGAAGGCAGCUCACUAGGUUACAACUGACGCUGAUGCACGAAAGCGUGGGGAUCAAAC